RNAcentral lists this ribosomal RNA (409 nucleotides) under uncultured bacterium. RNAcentral's name for it is "bacterial SSU rRNA". It matches the Rfam family "Bacterial small subunit ribosomal RNA", at positions 94 to 518 of the family's 1533-position model. The record is from RNAcentral.
AGUGGCGGACGGGUGAGUAACGCGUGGGCAACCUGCCCUUAACCGGGGGACAACAGUUGGAAACGGCUGCUAAUACCGCAUAAGCGCACGGAACCGCAUGGGUUCAGUGUGAAAAAUUCCGGUGGUUAAGGAUGGGGCCCGCGUUGGAUUAGGUAGUUGGUGCGGUAACGGCGCACCAAGCCGACGAUCCAUAGCCGACCUGAGAGGGUGACCGGCCACAUUGGGACUGAGACACGGCCCAGACUCCUGCGGGAGGCAGCAGUGGGGAAUAUUGCACAAUGGGGGAAACCCUGAUGCAGCGACGCCGCGUGAGUGAAGAAGUAUUUCGGUAUGUAAAGCUCUUUCGGCAGGGAAGAAGAUGACGGUACCUGCAGAAGAACGCCCCGGCUAACUACGUGCCAGCCGCCGC